This is a non-coding RNA of Peromyscus eremicus (cactus mouse), 408 nucleotides long. The record is from the annotation of a RefSeq genome assembly. NCBI's taxonomy places the organism in Eukaryota, Metazoa, Chordata, Mammalia, Rodentia, Cricetidae.
AUGGGUUCCAGGUUCCUAAGCUGUGUGGCCUUCUGUCUCUUGGGAGUAGGUCCCCUGGAGAUGGCUGUUUUCCAGACUCCAAAACAUCUUGUCACACAGGUGGGAAAUAAAGCGUUUCUCGAGUGUGAACAAAAGCUGGGCCAUGAUGCUAUGUACUGGUACAAGCAAGACUCUAAGCAAUUGAAGAUUAUGUUUACCUACAAUAAUAAACAACUCAUUUUAAAUGAAUCAGUUCCAAGUCGCUUCUCACCUCAGUCUCCAGAUAAAGCUCUUUUGAAUCUUCAUGUCAAGUCUUUAGAACUGGAUGACACUGCUGUGUACUUCUGUGCCAGCAGCUAUGACACAGCCAUGCAGAGCCACUGCCUCCCUGUGCACAAACCCAGCCAGCCAGGAAGCAGUGGGGGUUGA